GUGACGGUGGGUACGGCUUCAUUUCGCACACGAAAGACACAAUUGUUUCCUAAAGGUAAGCUAAAUAUUCAGACAUGACUAUUGUUUCGUUGGAAAUGGUGUUUUUUAGUUCGUGACUAUCAACAAGCGCACUAUAUUUAACCCAUUUUGCAUAGAAAAUUCACCAAACUCAAGGUUCCGCUGUUUUGCCAAAUUUAGGCGAACGGGUAAAUAUGAAUUCUGUUAUAUUUUGGUAAGUUUUAGUUGUUUUUACACCAUGAAUAAUACUAGUAUAGCUGCACGACUUGAAAUAUUGGCGAUGUGUGCAUCUAAAAAAGCCAACAUUGCAAACUGCUAACGUUAAGCCUCCGAUGGAAACAACUUUGUUCUGUCGCGAAGUUGUUCAUUACGUCGUGGAAACGGCGCGUUUUCCGUAAGACCACCCUCAAAAUAAAAAGAUUUAGUUUUUAAUCCAACAUAAAUGGCGAAUGUUGUCAAAUAUUUUACAUCAUUUAUGGUUUCAUCGCGACUGCUGUCUGGUUCGUCAAGGCUAAACCUUUGAGAGGGAACACUAAAGAGAGAGCGAAAAGAAAUCCCGUAUGUCCCCAUUGCGCAUGUUUUGACUAGACCAAUAGCAAAACCACGUUGCGAAAACGGAUUCUGGCUAGCGAGCUAGCUAGCAACAGUCUAGCUUGGAUGAAGUUUAUACAGCGGAGAGAGUUAACGUUUUCAGAGGGAUAGUGGAAGUGAUAAAGGGCUGGUUUAAAUAUGUGCAAGGUGUUGUCAAAGCUUGGAUCGGGUCCCUUUUUUUAUUAUGUAGAAAUGCUGGUGCGAGUGGAGUAUCAGACAGUCCAGAGAUGGGUCCGGGUUCCAGUGACAGAUGACUGCCAUUUUUACUUGAAAUGUGCAAGUUGGAUCUUCGCAGUGUGUUGAUGGCGAAGGACUGAAAACGCGGGGUGACAGCCUGGGGUCCUCACAUGGCGUCCUUGGUGGGGGCCUGAAAACAUGAGCCAGCUGCUGGCUGAGGAGUAAAAAUGAGAGGAGGAACUGAAUGCAAAUUGGCUUUUUCAGCGCAUCAAUUGCUGAAAUGCUUUGUGUUUGAGUUGCACAUUGUCCCCUUUUUAAAAAGCCAGGUUAAAGAAAAAUAGAUGCAUUAAUAGUUUAUGCUUUCAAAUUUGCAAAGCGUACUGACAUUUUCCAACACAGCCAUGAGAAGACGAGUUACACCAUUUAAUUUUCCUUUGGGGUCAAUGAAAUAUUUUGCUAACCCUGUUGUCUUCUCUCUUUAUUUCAUUUCUCUCUCAACUCAUGUCACAUGACUGAAGUUGACCAACAACUACAGCAGAAGACCAGCUCCACCUGCUGAUCUACUGGUUGUAACAGAUUGUGGAAAAGCAUCAAUGAGACAAGACAACAGCACUGGACCAAUCAGGAGAGAGAAGACACAAGAACAGAGGCGACACAAAAAAACCCUGCUGGAAAUCCCGAGAUGAAGUUUCCUGAUGGAACAAGGGGACACCUGAGGACACACAAUAAAGAGACAGAAAUCAUGUGAAAUAGGUCCUUCAAUAACAAACCAAGCACUGCCGUAGGAUCUUAUGUUGAAAUUUCACCUGUUCAUGAGUCGGGCGUUGAAUAUUAAACAAUUUUAGACACA
Molecule: long non-coding RNA, 1636 nt
Organism: Xiphophorus couchianus (Monterrey platyfish)
Lineage: Eukaryota; Metazoa; Chordata; Actinopteri; Cyprinodontiformes; Poeciliidae
Exons: 2
Source: RefSeq, a predicted model, not a curated record